AGUCGAAUUUGACGGCACGAGCUUUACCGAUAAUGGAUCGAUUCGAAUUUGAAUCCGGUAACUGAUUAAAGAACGAAUCACUUGUUGAAUGUUAUUGAGCUGUCGCGAGAUAUGGAUGAGAGCGCGCAUUGAUCGUAAUCGUUUUUCUCUUCGCUUGGACCGAGUCAUCACCGAUGGCGAUUACCACGACACAACUCAGAUUCAUCUUCUUCCUCCUAGAGUCGCGAUGACGGUGCGAUCGGGAUGACGGAGAACGCGACGGUGGCUCAGGCUUUUGUUCCAUGUGCGUUUUGUGGAAUUCUCUUUUCUCUCAUGCAUGUGUUCUCGUUUCAGCUGGUUGAAGAUCUUGUUUGGACUCAGACCUGAGCAGAUUUUCCCAUUCACACCCUCCAAU
RNAcentral lists this long non-coding RNA (394 nucleotides) under Lathyrus oleraceus (garden pea). Its description in RNAcentral is "Pisum sativum (pea) long non-coding RNA (PSAT_LNC040152)". The record is from RNAcentral. Lineage: Eukaryota; Viridiplantae; Streptophyta; Magnoliopsida; Fabales; Fabaceae.